Long non-coding RNA from Capra hircus (goat), 1741 nucleotides. RefSeq lists it as uncharacterized. Lineage: Eukaryota; Metazoa; Chordata; Mammalia; Artiodactyla; Bovidae. The transcript has 3 exons. The record is from RefSeq and is a predicted model, not a curated record.
GUUUUGACAGGCUAAGAAACUGGGAGCCAGAGGUGGGAGAAAGAUGUUGUUGCACACUCUUCUACUUUUUUAUUUGAACCUAAAAUGAUGUGAACAGAUUAAUAUUCAAAAUGAAUGAUGCUUUCUUAGCUGACAGCCUGCCUUUUCUACAAAGCAAAAAUACUAGCAGCUAUAUAGUACUUGCCACGUAUGUUGGCCCCUGUUCCAAGUGCUCCUGUGUACGUUCACUCACGUGAUCUUCGGAACACCCCAGUGAGCCCAACUUCUCUACAGCACAAACAGCAAAGCCAAAAAUAGCCAUCUAAUGACGUCAGAGGAACAAGGUCAUCUGAAAACUGCCCAUGGCCACUGGAUACCUCCCUAUAGGAUCAUGUAGCAGGAGGGUACCCCAGGCUGGUGCAGCUGUUCCAAGAACAGGAAAUGUCCCCGAAGCAGACUUGGAAGCACCGCCCUCCAAAGGCAGGGCCCAUGGGGGCGGGGGGACAAACACAAACAGAAAGAAGCAAGACUCAAGGGCAGAGUGCACACCCUGGAGAGGAGAGGAAUUGGGAGUUUAUCUGCAGUAAGAGUCACUGCCGGCACACGAUCCCAGGAAAUGGCUCCAAAAGCGGGGAAUGCAUGUUCUGUCCUGGUGCACCGGUUGGCUUCCUGGCCUACCCCUGAGCUAUUUAUAACUCUCCAGGCCCGUCUGCUGAACUGGGUUACCACAUGAGCCAGGGGGUGCGUGAUGAGCUCUUGAGAGACUGCUGGGAGAAGAGGGUCCCAUCUGGGAUGGUAAUGGGGGUUUCAAAUAAAGGAUGAGGAGUGGGCUGGGGCAAAGCACCUUCUGGCUGCACUCCCUUGGCACUUCGACCAUGCUGGCUAUCAUUCAGGUCUGCUGAGGCUUGUGACUUAAUUGACCGGCUGCUGCCGCAUCCCGGACAGGAAUGCAAGCAUCCGGCUUGGUCUGAGGAGAUGCCUGCUGGGUGAAACUGAGGAGAGAACCCCGCCUCUGGGAAGCGUAGCAGGAGGUUCCCACAAGCAACAUCGAGAGUUCAGUGAGGGCUCCAGCCCACAAGCUUGCUCCAAAGUCCUCAGUUGCUGGCCAUGGUGGGUGACAGAAACAAUCUCUUCUUCACCCAUGGGGCUCUUUGAUCCAGUGUCACUUGGCUCCCAAAAGAGCUAGGCCCUGUCCUCCAGGAGCUCCUGAAAAUGUCCAUCCAUCCUCUCAUGGGAUGUUAACUGGUGUGGUGCAAAAGGCACUUGAGGGCACAGACCUGGGUCAAAUUCUGACUCUGCCACUUACCAGCAGUGUGACUUUGGGAUAGUAACUUAAACUCAGAGCCUCAGUUUUCCUCAUCUGUCUUAUGACUUGUUGGAAGGACAUAUGGAAAAGCAUUCUUCCUUCCAUCUUUAUUCUGGUAACGGAGCCUUGGCUAAGGAGAUAAACACUCAAACUCAGCAGCUCUCCUGGGUAACAUGAACAGGCUGCACAAAUGUGACUCUCCAGGGAGCUUAGAGGGGAGGCAUGUUCCUGCUGUCCACAUGGGCUCUAGGUUUGGCCUGGAUACUGAGGGUCACAGGAGAGAAUGGCUGCAGAUUUCCUGAUUCAUAGGGAACGCUGAGUUGGGAGUUCUGUUGUCCACUAGGACAACACCUGCUGACACAGUGGUCCUCACCCUUGGGGGUACCUCACAGCUCUCUGCUGCUACUUGCUAAAUCGCUUCAGUUGUGUCCUACUCCGUUAGACCCCAGAGACGGC